GCCUGGGUGGCUCAGUUGGUUAAGCGUCUGACUUCGGCUCAGGUCAUGAUCUCGCGGUCCGUGGGUUCGAGCCCCACGUUGGGCU
RNAcentral lists this transfer RNA (85 nucleotides) under Felis catus (domestic cat). It matches the Rfam family "tRNA". From Rfam's summary of the family: Transfer RNA (tRNA) molecules are approximately 80 nucleotides in length. Their secondary structure includes four short double-helical elements and three loops (D, anti-codon, and T loops). Lineage: Eukaryota; Metazoa; Chordata; Mammalia; Carnivora; Felidae. The record is from Rfam by way of RNAcentral.